Non-coding RNA from Nicotiana tabacum (common tobacco), 690 nucleotides. The record is from RefSeq and is a predicted model, not a curated record. Lineage: Eukaryota; Viridiplantae; Streptophyta; Magnoliopsida; Solanales; Solanaceae.
ACAAGAGUCAUUUUCAUCAUUUUCCUUGGCUUCUUCAGGUUUGCAGCCAAACAGCUAGCGUUUCCGGUUGUUUCAUCAUCCGUCCAAUCAUCAGACGAUUCAUCACUUUCAGAUUCACUGAAAGUCCUUCUGAAACCUCUGCCAUUUAUUCUGCCCAAUCGGCCUUUGUCCGCUGAUCUUCAGAAUUCCCGUUCUGGUCAGUUGAACCCUCAUCUGUUCCUUCUUGAAACCUGAUGAUUUCAAUCUUCAUCAGUGUGUUAUCAUAUAUGAAAUCAAUAUGUUCCAGAAGAUAGAAUUUCAAUCUUUAAGGUUAACUAUGAAAAUUAUUAAGAAAAUAACAACAGUCGCGCCUGAUGUGGAUACAUGACUUCUCAGAUAUCUUAGUUGACAUAAGGCAUGGAAUAAGUUACUGUGAGAUGUGACAUCUUCAUCUGAUUAUGAACUUUUCAUUUUCUGGAGAAUUGUUAACAUUAUUCUGAGCAUAGCGGAAAAAAUCUCAUAUAGCAGUAUAGCAUUUUAUAGAAUCCCUGUAAUUUCUCAUGAUGUUGUAAGGUUAAUAUCACCAGUGGGGAAUCCAACAUAUACUAGUUGCGCAUGCACUAGAUGGAGUCGUACUGUAUAUAUGUUCUGUAGAAAUUCUUAAAGAAUUUUUUAUUUUAAGUAUCAAUAUAUAUUGAGAGGUUCACCCAC